RNAcentral lists this ribosomal RNA (820 nucleotides) under Pichia thaimueangensis. Its description in RNAcentral is "LSU rRNA". It matches the Rfam family "Eukaryotic large subunit ribosomal RNA", at positions 80 to 931 of the family's 3401-position model. The record is from RNAcentral. Lineage: Eukaryota; Fungi; Ascomycota; Pichiomycetes; Pichiales; Pichiaceae.
CCAGUAGCGGCGAGUGAAGCGGCAAGAGCUCAGAUUUGAAAUCGUGUUUCGGCACGAGUUGUAGAGUGUAGGCGGGAGUGUCUGCGGCGGGCAGUGUCCAAGUCCCUUGGAACAGGGCGCCACUGAGGGUGAGAGCCCCGUGGGAUGCUGCGCAAAGCUUUGAGACCCUGCUGACGAGUCGAGUUGUUUGGGAAUGCAGCUCCAAGCGGGUGGUAAAUUCCAUCUAAGGCUAAAUACUGGCGAGAGACCGAUAGCGAACAAGUACUGUGAAGGAAAGAUGAAAAGCACUUUGAAAAGAGAGUGAAACAGCACGUGAAAUUGUUGAAAGGGAAGGGUAUUGGGCCCGACAUGGGGAGUGCGCACCGUUGCCUCUUGUAGGCGGCGCUCUGGGCGCUCUCUGGGCCAGCAUCGGUUCUUGCUGCAGGAGAAGGGGUGCCGGAACGUGGCUCUUCGGAGUGUUACAGCCGGGGCCAGAUGCUGCGUGCGGGGACCGAGGGCUGCGACAUAUGUCUCGGAUGCUGGCACAACGGCGCAAUACCGCCCGUCUUGAAACAUGGACCAAGGAGUCUAACGUCUAUGCGAGUGUUUGGGUGUGAAACCCGUACGCGUAAUGAAAGUGAACGUAGGUCGGACCCUUUGGGGGCACGAUCGACCGAUCCUGAUGUUUAUCGGAUGGAUUUGAGUAAGAGCAUAGCUGUUGGGACCCGAAAGAUGGUGAACUAUGCCUGAAUAGGGUGAAGCCAGAGGAAACUCUGGUGGAGGCUCGUAGCGGUUCUGACGUGCAAAUCGAUCGUCGAAUUUGGGUAUAGGGGCGAAAGAC